CCUACGGGUGGCUGCAGUGAGGAAUAUUGGUCAAUGGACGAGAGUCUGAACCAGCCAAGUAGCGUGAAGGAUGACUGCCCUAUGGGUUGUAAACUUCUUUUAUAUGGGGAUAAAACGUUCCACGUGUGGGAUUUUGUAUGUAUCAUAUGAAUAAGGAUCGGCUAACUCCGUGCCAGCAGCCGCGGUAAUACGGAGGAUCCGAGCGUUAUCCGGAUUUAUUGGGUUUAAAGGGAGCGUAGGUGGAUUGUUAAGUCAGUUGUGAAAGUUUGCGGCUCAACCGUAAAAUUGCAGUUGAAACUGGCAGUCUUGAGUACAGUAGAGGUGGGCGGAAUUCGUGGUGUAGCGGUGAAAUGCUUAGAUAUCACGAAGAACUCCGAUUGCGAAGGCAGUUCACUGGACUGCAACUGACACUGAGGCUCGAAAGUGUGGGUAUCAAACAGGAUUAGAUACCCCAGUAGUC
Molecule: ribosomal RNA, 460 nt
Filed under: uncultured bacterium
Lineage: Bacteria
Description: partial 16S ribosomal RNA
Rfam family: Bacterial small subunit ribosomal RNA
Source: RNAcentral